Molecule: ribosomal RNA, 429 nt
Filed under: bacterium
Lineage: Bacteria
Description: partial 16S ribosomal RNA
Rfam family: Bacterial small subunit ribosomal RNA
Source: RNAcentral
UAGGGAAUCUUCCACAAUGGACGCAAGUCUGAUGGAGCAACGCCGCGUGAGUGAAGAAGGUUUUCGGAUCGUAAAGCUCUGUUGUUGGUGAAGAAGGAUAGAGGUAGUAACUGGCCUUUAUUUGACGGUAAUCAACCAGAAAGUCACGGCUAACUACGUGCCAGCAGCCGCGGUAAUACGUAGGUGGCAAGCGUUGUCCGGAUUUAUUGGGCGUAAAGCGAGCGCAGGCGGAAGAAUAAGUCUGAUGUGAGAGCCCUCGGCUUAACCGAGGAACUGCAUCGGAAACUGUUUUUCUUGAGUGCAGAAGAGGAGAGUGGAAUUCCAUGUGUAGCGGUGGAAUGCGUAGAUAUAUGGAAGAACACCAGUGGCGAAGGCGACUCUCUGGUCUGCAACUGACGCUGAGGCUCGAAAGCAUGGGUAGCGAACAGG